RNAcentral lists this ribosomal RNA (1332 nucleotides) under uncultured bacterium. RNAcentral's name for it is "bacterial SSU rRNA". It matches the Rfam family "Bacterial small subunit ribosomal RNA", at positions 28 to 1381 of the family's 1533-position model. The record is from RNAcentral.
GACGAACGCUGGCGGCGCGCCUAACACAUGCAAGUCGAACGAGCGAGAGAGAGCUUGCUUUCUCGAGCGAGUGGCGAACGGGUGAGUAACGCGUGAGGAACCUGCCUCAAAGAGGGGGACAACAGUUGGAAACGACUGCUAAUACCGCAUAAGCCCACGGCUCGGCAUCGAGCAGAGGGAAAAGGAGCAAUCCGCUUUGAGAUGGCCUCGCGUCCGAUUAGCUAGUUGGUGAGGUAAUGGCCCACCAAGGCGACGAUCGGUAGCCGGACUGAGAGGUUGAACGGCCACAUUGGGACUGAGACACGGCCCAGACUCCUACGGGAGGCAGCAGUGGGGAAUAUUGCACAAUGGGGGAAACCCUGAUGCAGCGACGCCGCGUGGAGGAAGAAGGUCUUCGGAUUGUAAACUCCUGUUGUUGGGGAAGAUAAUGACGGUACCCAACAAGGAAGUGACGGCUAACUACGUGCCAGCAGCCGCGGUAAAACGUAGGUCACAAGCGUUGUCCGGAAUUACUGGGUGUAAAGGGAGCGCAGGCGGGAAGACAAGUUGGAAGUGAAAUCUAUGGGCUCAACCCAUAAACUGCUUUCAAAACUGUUUUUCUUGAGUAGUGCAGAGGUAGGCGGAAUUCCCGGUGUAGCGGUGGAAUGCGUAGAUAUCGGGAGGAACACCAGUGGCGAAGGCGGCCUACUGGGCACCAACUGACGCUGAGGCUCGAAAGUGUGGGUAGCAAACAGGAUUAGAUACCCUGGUAGUCCACACCGUAAACGAUGAUUACUAGGUGUUGGAGGAUUGACCCCUUCAGUGCCGCAGUUAACACAAUAAGUAAUCCACCUGGGGAGUACGACCGCAAGGUUGAAACUCAAAGGAAUUGACGGGGGCCCGCACAAGCAGUGGAGUAUGUGGUUUAAUUCGACGCAACGCGAAGAACCUUACCAAGUCUUGACAUCCCUUGACAGACAUAGAAAUAUGUUUUCUCUUCGGAGCAAGGAGACAGGUGGUGCAUGGUUGUCGUCAGCUCGUGUCGUGAGAUGUUGGGUUAAGUCCCGCAACGAGCGCAACCCUUAUGGUCAGUUACUACGCAAGAGGACUCUGGCCAGACUGCCGUUGACAAAACGGAGGAAGGUGGGGAUGACGUCAAAUCAUCAUGCCCUUUAUGACUUGGGCUACACACGUACUACAAUGGCGUUAAACAAAGAGAAGCAAGACCGCGAGGUGGAGCAAAACUCAGAAACAACGUCCCAGUUCGGACUGCAGGCUGCAACUCGCCUGCACGAAGUCGGAAUUGCUAGUAAUCGUGGAUCAGCAUGCCACGGUGAAUACGUUCCCGGGCCU